RNAcentral lists this ribosomal RNA (447 nucleotides) under uncultured bacterium. RNAcentral's name for it is "SSU rRNA". It matches the Rfam family "Bacterial small subunit ribosomal RNA", at positions 26 to 518 of the family's 1533-position model. The record is from RNAcentral.
AGAGCGAACGCUGGCGGCAGGCUUAACACAUGCAAGUCGAGCGGGCGUAGCAAUACGUCAGCGGCAGACGGGUGAGUAACGCGUGGGAACGUACCUUUUGGUUCGGAACAACCCAGGGAAACUUGGGCUAAUACCGGAUAAGCCCUUACGGGGAAAGAUUUAUCGCCGAAAGAUCGGCCCGCGUCUGAUUAGCUAGUUGGUGGGGUAAUGGCCCACCAAGGCGACGAUCAGUAGCUGGUCUGAGAGGAUGAUCAGCCACAUUGGGACUGAGACACGGCCCAAACUCCUACGGGAGGCAGCAGUGGGGAAUAUUGGACAAUGGGCGCAAGCCUGAUCCAGCCAUGCCGCGUGAGUGAUGAAGGCCCUAGGGUUGUAAAGCUCUUUGUGCGGGAAGAUAAUGACGGUACCGCAAGAAUAAGCCCCGGCUAACUUCGCGCCAGCAGCCGC